Molecule: transfer RNA, 828 nt
Filed under: uncultured Synechococcus sp.
Lineage: Bacteria; Bacillati; Cyanobacteriota; Cyanophyceae; Synechococcales; Synechococcaceae
Description: partial contains 16S ribosomal RNA, 16S-23S ribosomal RNA intergenic spacer, and 23S ribosomal RNA
Rfam family: tRNA (bases 283-355)
Source: RNAcentral
UGGAUCACCUCCUAACAGGGAGACAAACAACGAUUUUGAUGUCUGAGUUUUUUUAUUCUUAGGCCAAAAUCCUGUCACCUUAGGUCGAUCGGUACCUCAACUUUGAAGCUAAGAGUAUUCAGCAAUGGAUAUCUGCUUAGUGGAAAUUUUUAGUUCCUAAACUUUGUCUAGUUCACAACCCAUUAGGGAUGAGACUCCUGGGCCAUUAGCUCAGGUGGUUAGAGCGCACCCCUGAUAAGGGUGAGGUCCCUGGUUCAAGUCCAGGAUGGCCCAUUCGGUGUAGGGGGUUUAGCUCAGUUGGUAGAGCGCCUGCUUUGCAAGCAGGAUGUCAGGAGUUCGAGUCUCCUAACCUCCACUGACUACCAAAAUCCCCAUCUCCAAAACCUGGAGUAUGAACUCGUAUGGAUUGUGAUUUAGAUGUGUCCGCUAGAUGACCCUAGCUUCUUGUCAUUUAAGGCAUGGAAAUAGUUCCAUGAUAUUUAAUUGAUAGGAUGCUGGGCUCGAUUCAAUGUAUUGAGAGAUCAAUGCAUUGUUUUGAUGUCUGGUCGAACCUUGACAACUGCAUAGUAAGUCUGGAAAGAAUAAAGCAUCUUUAUGGAUGCAUCAUUCUUGAGUGUUAAUUCACGAUGGGAUGGUGUUAAUUCUAAAGCAAGAGCCGAGACUCCAGCAUGUUCUUUCAAAUGUGUCGAGCAUUUGAGAGUUUGAUUUUAAUUUCUAUUUUUAGAAGUUAGAAGAAUCUGUUUCAACGACAGCAAGCGUGUUGGAGAUACAUUGGUCAAGCUACAAAGGGCUCACGGCGGAUACCUUGGCACACAGAGGCGAUGAAGG